CCCUUAGAUGUUCUGGGCGGCCCGCGCACUACAAUGGCGCUUUCAGCGAGUUCCUAUGUUGAAUUUUCCUUGGUAUUCUUGGAAGCGGCGUCUUGACUUGGGAUAGAUCCUUGUAAUUGUUGGUUUUGAACGAGGAAUUCCUUGUAAUCGCGGUUGAUCAGCUCGCGUUGAAUACGUCCCUGCCCUUUGUACACACCGCCCGUCGCUCCUACCGAUGAAUCGUCCGUUGAAGUUCACAGAGUGGCGGUUCGUGGAGUUGCUCGCGAAGUGAAAUGGACCUCACGAUUUAGAGGAAGGAGAAGUCGUAACA
This 310-nucleotide ribosomal RNA is filed under the name uncultured eukaryote. RNAcentral's name for it is "partial 18S ribosomal RNA". It matches the Rfam family "Eukaryotic small subunit ribosomal RNA", at positions 1470 to 1796 of the family's 1831-position model. The record is from RNAcentral.